UGAGUUGAAACAUAGGUUCCCGUACGAUCACCGACGUUAAGCAACGUCGAGCCUGCUCAGCACCUAAAUGGGUGACAGCUUGGGAACAUCAGGAGCUGUAA
Molecule: non-coding RNA, 101 nt
Organism: Acanthosepion pharaonis
Lineage: Eukaryota; Metazoa; Mollusca; Cephalopoda; Sepiida; Sepiidae
Source: the annotation of a GenBank genome assembly